GAGUUUGAUCCUGGCUCAGGAUGAACGCUGGCGGCGUGCCUAAUACAUGCAAGUCGAGCGAACAGACGAGGAGCUUGCUCCUCUGACGUUAGCGGCGGACGGGUGAGUAACACGUGGAUAACCUACCUAUAAGACUGGGAUAACUUCGGGAAACCGGAGCUAAUACCGAAUAAUAUAUUGAACCGCAUGGUUCAAUAGUGAAAAACGGUUUUGCUGUCACUUAUAGAUGGAUCCGCGCCGCAUUAGCUAGUUGGUAGGGUAACGGCUUACCAAGGCGACGAUGCGUAGCCGACCUGAGAGGGUGAUCGGCCACACUGGAACUGAGACACGGUCCAGACUCCUACGGGAGGCAGCAGUAGGGAAUCUUCCGCAAUGGGCGAAAGCCUGACGGAGCAACGCCGCGUGAGUGAUGAAGGUCUUCGGAUCGUAAAACUCUGUUAUUAGGGAAGAACAAAUGUGUAGUAACUAUGCACGUCUUGACGGUACCUAAUCAGAAAGCCACGGCUAACCACGUGCCAGCCGCCG
This 525-nucleotide ribosomal RNA is filed under the name uncultured microorganism. Its description in RNAcentral is "bacterial SSU rRNA". It matches the Rfam family "Bacterial small subunit ribosomal RNA", at positions 9 to 517 of the family's 1533-position model. The record is from RNAcentral.